RNAcentral lists this ribosomal RNA (465 nucleotides) under uncultured bacterium. RNAcentral's name for it is "partial 16S ribosomal RNA". It matches the Rfam family "Bacterial small subunit ribosomal RNA", at positions 338 to 795 of the family's 1533-position model. The record is from RNAcentral.
CCUACGGGAGGCAGCAGUGGGGAAUAUUGCGCAAUGGGCGAAAGCCUGACGCAGCGACGCAGCGUGAGGGAUGAAGGUCCUCGGAUCGUAAACCUCUGUCAGCAGGGAAGAACGGUCACUGUGCUAAUCAGCAGUGAAUUUACGGUACCUGUAAAGGUAGCAUCGGCUAACUCCGUGCCAGCAGCCGCGGCAAUACGGAGGAUGCGAGCGUUAAUCGGAUUGACUGGGCGUAAAGGGCGCGUAGACGGUAUGUCAAGUCAAGUGUGAAAGGCCCGGGCUCAACGUUGGAACUGCCUUUGAAACUGGCAAACUUGAGUAUAUUAGAGGUUAGUGGAAUUCCAGGUGUAGGAGUGAAAUGCGUAGAUAUCUGGAGGAACAUCGAUGGCGAAGGCAGCUAUCUAGAACAUAACUGACGCUGAUGAGCGAAAGCGUGGGUAGCAAACAGGAUUAGAUACCCGGGUAGUC